Erinaceus europaeus (western European hedgehog) is the source of this 1432-nucleotide long non-coding RNA. RefSeq lists it as uncharacterized. The record is from RefSeq and is a predicted model, not a curated record. The transcript is spliced from 5 exons. Lineage: Eukaryota; Metazoa; Chordata; Mammalia; Eulipotyphla; Erinaceidae.
AGUCGGGGACGGACCGGGACAGUCGGACUGCAGGACUUCGUCUCAGCCAGGGCAGCCGGCCGGAACUACUGCCUGUGAAACGCAGCCUGAUUCUUUGAGGCAUGGUCUCUGCCUCUCUUCACACACUGGGAUCUCGAAGAUGAAAAAACUUUUUCUCUCAAAACUUCCUGUACCUUGUCCCGAGGAGCAGCCAGAUCUGACAGAAGCGGUUGUCUGUUUGAAGUAGCCAGAGGACCCGGAACAUAGUUCACCUGGUAGAGCGCGCACUUUGCCUGACACCGUGCCAGGGCCCCCCGUUCCCCCCAAUACACAUGCCACUUGGGAGCUCCGUGCAAGGCAAGAGGGACAGAGCUGUCCUCAGUCUUUUCUCCUCCCAGUGUCUCUGUAUUUGAAAAUUCAAACCAGGAAGAGGCAGAGCGGGUUGGCAGGCUAUUUUCCCCACUCCAGGAAAAAAACAAAACAAAAAACAGUGGGGAGGGGUCAAGUAGAUCAGCAUUAUAACGCAGGGCCUGUAUGUGUCAUCUAAGGAUUUGGAGAGCCCUGAUCAGCUCUGGCUUACAGUGGUACAGGGUGCAGGGAAUUGAACCUGGGACUUUGGACCCUCACAAGGAGGAACUGAGACCCAGAGACGCUACCUGACUUUCCCUGCUGGUAAUCAGGAAAAUGAAAACUUGUAUCUCCAAACUCUUAGAGAAGAGAAAGAGGGAGAGGGGCAGAAGAGACACAUGACAGCAUACCACUAAAGCCUCCUCUGCUGCCACAGCACCUGCUAUGUGAUACUGGCAUCUGAACCUGGAUAACACACCUGGCAGGACACGCACGAUCUUUCUGGUUACUCAGAGAGCCUCAACAUUGAUCUCUGAGGCCUGAGGAUGACUCAGGCAGUAAAGCAUGGGCCAUACCAUGAUUGUGCUUGCAGCAAGUAACCUCAAGGGAUGAGGUAAUGUUUCCCUCUGGGACAUAGAACAAGCUUGCUGACUACCUGCUACCUGCUUCUGAAAGUCCGCUCAAGUACCCACCUGUGCCCUCCACUUUGAAUGUGGGAGGUGAGGGGAACUGAUGCAGACAAACGUGAUGCUUGUGCCACUUGUUGAGCUGUGAGUACUAGGGUCCUUUAUCUCUGACCCACAAGUCUCUUGACUCCUGCCAACGUCUAGGAAAACAGUAAACUUGAGGGGCCAGGAGACAGCUCGCCUGGUAGAAUGCAUGUUGUACCAUGUCAGAGAGCCUGGGUCUCAGCCCCAGCUUCACAUGAGAAUACCACAACACCAGGGGAAGUUCCACAAAUGGUGGAGGGGUGCUCCAGUGCCUCUUUUCUCUCUCUCUCUCUCUUAAAAAAGACUGAAAAAGGCAGUGGAUAAAGCAUCAGAUUCUCAAGCAGGAGUUUCCAAGUUCUAUCCCCAGUAUUGCAAGUGCUGGAGUGGUACAGGUU